GACGAACGCUGGCGGCGUGCUUAACACAUGCAAGUCGAACGGAAAGGCCCUGCUUUUGUGGGACGCUCGAGUGGCGAGCGGGUGUGAAACACGUGAGUAACCUGCUCCUGUCCUUGGGAUACCUUCAGGAAACUGGGGCUAAUAUCGGAUAGGAGCUCUUUCUGCAUGGUGGGGGAUGGUUAGUUUCGGCGGUUGGGGAUGGACUCGCGGCUUCUCAGCUUGUUGGUGGGUAAGUGGCUUACCAAGGCAUUGACGGGCAGCCGGCCAGGGAGGGUGACCGGCCACAUUGGGACUGGGAUAGGACCCGGACUCCAACGGGAGCCAGCGGUGGGGAUUAUUCCACAAUGGGCGGAGGCCGGAGGCAGGAACGCCGGUUGGGGAAUGACGGCCUUCGGUUUGUAAACCGCUUUCGCGUGGAACGAGGCGUGAGUGACGGUAAUGAGUAAAGAAGCACCGGCUAACUACGUG
This 468-nucleotide ribosomal RNA is filed under the name uncultured bacterium. RNAcentral's name for it is "partial 16S ribosomal RNA". It matches the Rfam family "Bacterial small subunit ribosomal RNA", at positions 28 to 507 of the family's 1533-position model. The record is from RNAcentral.